UAUUUUAUUAUAUUAAAAAUAAUUAUAAAGUUUAGAAUUUUAGUAUAUUAUAUUGAAAAAAUAAUAUUAAUUAUAGUUUAUUAGUAUUGUAAAAGAAAAUUGAAAUAAUUUGAAAAAUUUUUAUAUAAAAAGUAAAUUUAAUUUAUUGUACCUUGUGUAUCAGGGUUUAUUAAUUAAAAAAUAAAUUUUUAUUAUUCUCGAAUUUAAAAGAGUUAAUAAAUUAUAAAAGUUAUUGUAAUAAAAUUAUUUUUAAUAAUUUAUUAGAAAUGAAAAGUUAUUCGUUUUUAAAUAUAUCUAGUUUUUCAAGAAAUAAAUUUAAUUUAUAAUUUGUAAAUAUAUUAUAUUUAUUUAAUAAUGUAAUAUUUUAUGAAUUUAAUAUUUUAAGGGAUAAGCUUUAGAAUAAAUUUUUAAAAAUCAUUAAAUAAUUUUAUAAAUAUAUGUUUAGAAUUAGCAAUUAUUUAUAAUUUUGUUAUAAAUUAUUUAUUAAAUUAUAUUAUUUAAUUUGAUUUUAAUUUUUUAUUGAAAUUUUUAUUAAAAUUUUAUAAAUAAAUUAAUAAUGAUAAAAUUAGUAUAUUUAUUGUAAUUUUAAGUAUAAAUGAAAAGUUUAAUUAAAGAAUUCGGCAAAAUUAAUGUUCGCCUGUUUAACAAAAACAUGUCUUUUUGUAUUAAUUAAAAAGUCUAACCUGCCCAUUGAUAGAUAUUUAACGGCCGCAGUAUAUUAACUGUGCAAAGGUAGCAUAAUCAUUAGUUUUUUAAUUGAAAGCUGGAAUGAAUGGUUGGACGAAAUAUUAACUGUUUCAUUUAAAUUUAUAAUAGAAUUUAAUUUUUUAAUUAAAAAGUUAAAAUAUUUUUAAAAGACGAGAAGACCCUAUGAAUCUUUAUAUUUUUUUAAUUUUAAAUUUUUUAGAUUUAUUUUAUUUAUUUUUAAAAAAGUAUUUUAUUGGGGUGAUAAUAAAAUUUAAUUAACUUUUAUUAAAUUUUUACAUUAAUUUAUGAAUUAUUGAUCCAUUAAUAAUGAUUAAAAAUUUAAGUUACUCUAGGGAUAACAGCGUAAUAUUUUUGGAGAGUUCUUAUUGAUAAAAAUGAUUGCGACCUCGAUGUUGGAUUAAGAUAUAAUUUUAGGUGUAGAAGCUUAAAUUUUAAGUCUGUUCGACUUUUAAAUUCUUACAUGAUCUGAGUUCAAACCGGUGUGAGCCAGGUUGGUUUCUAUCUUUAAUUAUUUAAAAUAUUUUAGUACGAAAGGAGUAAAUAUUUGAAUUAUAAAAUUUUUUAUAUUGAAUAUAAUUAAU
RNAcentral lists this ribosomal RNA (1289 nucleotides) under Anatrichus pygmaeus. Its description in RNAcentral is "16S ribosomal RNA". The stretch from base 1042 to 1201 matches the Rfam family "Archaeal large subunit ribosomal RNA", at positions 2544 to 2703 of the family's 2987-position model. The record is from RNAcentral. Lineage: Eukaryota; Metazoa; Arthropoda; Insecta; Diptera; Chloropidae.